GAUGAAGAACGUAGUGAAAUGCGAUAAGUAGUGUGAAUUGCAGAAUUCAGUGAAUCAUCGAAUCUUUGAACGCACAUUGCGCCCUUUGGUAUUCCAAAGGGCAUGCCUGUUCGUGCGUCAUUUGUACCCUCAAGCUUUGCUUGGUGUUGGGCGUCUUGUCUCCAGUCCGCUGGAGACUCGCCUUAAAGUCAUUGGCAGCCGGCCUACUGGUUUCGGAGCGCAGCACAAGUCGCACUCUUUUCCAGCCAAGGUCAGUGUCCAACAAGCCUUUUUUCAACUUUUGACCUCGGAUCAGGUAGGGAUACCCGCUGAACUUAAGCAUAUCAAUAAGCGGAGGA
This 338-nucleotide unclassified non-coding RNA is filed under the name soil metagenome. RNAcentral describes it as "partial contains 5.8S ribosomal RNA, internal transcribed spacer 2, and large subunit ribosomal RNA". The stretch from base 1 to 120 matches the Rfam family "5.8S ribosomal RNA", at positions 35 to 154 of the family's 154-position model. The record is from RNAcentral.